AUUGAACGCUGGCGGCAGGCCUAACACAUGCAAGUCGAGCGGUAGCACAGAGAGCUUGCUCUCGGGUGACGAGCGGCGGACGGGUGAGUAAUGUCUGGGAAACUGCCCGAUGGAGGGGGAUAACUACUGGAAACGGUAGCUAAUACCGCAUAACGUCGCAAGACCAAAGAGGGGGACCUUCGGGCCUCUUGCCAUCGGAUGUGCCCAGAUGGGAUUAGCUAGUAGGUGGGGUAACGGCUCACCUAGGCGACGAUCCCUAGCUGGUCUGAGAGGAUGACCAGCCACACUGGAACUGAGACACGGUCCAGACUCCUACGGGAGGCAGCAGUGGGGAAUAUUGCACAAUGGGCGCAAGCCUGAUGCAGCCAUGCCGCGUGUAUGAAGAAGGCCUUCGGGUUGUAAAGUACUUUCAGCGGGGAGGAAGGUGUUGAGGUUAAUAACCUCAGCAAUUGACGUUACCCGCAGAAGAAGCACCGGCUAACUCCGUGCCAGCAGCCGCAGUAA
This 504-nucleotide ribosomal RNA is filed under the name uncultured bacterium. RNAcentral describes it as "partial 16S ribosomal RNA". It matches the Rfam family "Bacterial small subunit ribosomal RNA", at positions 30 to 523 of the family's 1533-position model. The record is from RNAcentral.